Molecule: ribosomal RNA, 427 nt
Filed under: uncultured bacterium
Lineage: Bacteria
Description: bacterial SSU rRNA
Rfam family: Bacterial small subunit ribosomal RNA
Source: RNAcentral
UGGGGAAUUUUGGACAAUGGGCGAAAGCCUGAUCCAGCCAUGCCGCGUGAGUGAAGAAGGCCUUCGGGUUGUAAAGCUCUUUUAGUCGGAAAGAAAGAGUUGCAAUGAAUAAUUGUGAUUUAUGACGGUACCGACAGAAAAAGCACCGGCUAACUACGUGCCAGCAGCCGCGGUAAUACGUAGGGUACGAGCGUUAAUCGGAAUUACUGGGCGUAAAGGGUGCGCAGGCGGUCUUGCAAGUCAGAUGUGAAAGCCCCGGGCUUAACCUGGGAAUUGCGUUUGAAACUACAAGACUAGAGUGCAGCAGAGGGGAGUGGAAUUCCAUGUGUAGCAGUGAAAUGCGUAGAGAUGUGGAAGAACACCGAUGGCGAAGGCAGCUCCCUGGGUUGACACUGACGCUCAUGCACGAAAGCGUGGGGAGCAAACA